RNAcentral lists this ribosomal RNA (590 nucleotides) under uncultured bacterium. RNAcentral describes it as "partial 16S ribosomal RNA". It matches the Rfam family "Bacterial small subunit ribosomal RNA", at positions 355 to 941 of the family's 1533-position model. The record is from RNAcentral.
UGGGGAAUAUUGGACAAUGGGCGAAAGCCUGAUCCGGCCAUGCCGCGUGUGUGAAGAAGGUCUUCGGAUUGUAAAGCACUUUAAGUUGGGAGGAAGGGCAUUUACCUAAUACGUAAGUGUUUUGACGUUACCGACAGAAUAAGCACCGGCUAACUCUGUGCCAGCAGCCGCGGUAAUACAGAGGGUGCAAGCGUUAAUCGGAAUUACUGGGCGUAAAGCGCGCGUAGGUGGUUUGUUAAGUUGGAUGUGAAAUCCCCGGGNUCAACCUGGGAACUGCAUUCAAAACUGACAAGCUAGAGUAUGGUAGAGGGUGGUGGAAUUUCCUGUGUAGCGGUGAAAUGCGUAGAUAUAGGAAGGAACACCAGUGGCGAAGGCGACCACCUGGACUGAUACUGACACUGAGGUGCGAAAGCGUGGGGANCAAAACAGGAUUAGAUACCCUGGUAGUCCACGCCGUAAAACGAUGUCAACUAGCCGUUGGGAGCCUUGAGCUCUUAGUGGCGCAGCUAACGCAUUAAGUUGACCGCCUGGGGAGUACGGCCGCAAGGUUAGAACUCAAAUGAAUUGACGGGGGUCAUAGCUGUUUCCUG